This 3889-nucleotide long non-coding RNA is filed under the name Canis lupus familiaris (dog). RNAcentral describes it as "lncRNA (ENSCAFG00000052669.1)". Lineage: Eukaryota; Metazoa; Chordata; Mammalia; Carnivora; Canidae. The record is from RNAcentral.
GCGAUGAGACCCGCCUCCAGAACAGGGAAUUUUGUGCAGCCACAGAGAUUACACAGGACAGAUUUCAGCUCCAUACAGGGGAACUUUAGGGGCUUUGAGCUGAGGGAAGAACUGUUCAUGGGAGUGUGAGCCCCAUCUCCAUGGAGGUGUGCAAGCAGAGACUGUGCCAGCACUCUGGGACAGGAAAGUAGCAGGAACUGUACUCGGUGGCACCCCUUCCAAAUCUGAGAUUUUGUGAUGGGUUUAUAUAGAGUGGGCUUUGUGGUUACCCUGACCUGAGUUUGAAUCCCAGCCCUACGACUGUUGGCUGUGUGACUUAACUUCUCUGAGCCUCACUUUCUUCACCUGAAAAAAGUGGGUGGUGACCCAUACUCACCUCCUAAGGUUGUUGUAGGACUGAAUGAGAUCACAUAUACCAAGUGUAGGCCUGGCCUACCACCACCACCACUGCCACCAUCAUCACCAUUACCAUCAUCACCAUUAUCAUCACCAUCAUUCCUACCAUCAUCAUCACCAUUACCAUCACCAUCACCAUCAUUCCCAGCAUCACCACCAUCACCACCAUCAUCACCAUCACCACCAUCAUCACCAUUACCACCAUCACCAUCAUCAGCACCAUCAUUACCAUCACCAUCAUCAUUGUCACCAUCAUCAUUUUCUUGAUCAUCGUCAUUUGCCCCAUCUCCACCUCCAUCACCGUUACCACCACAAAAUCUGUGCCAGAAUUCCUAUAGAGCCUUCUGGAAUGGCCCUGUGCAAGUCCAGCAGCAUGAAGGAUAAGCAAGCACCAGCCUCACAACCCCAUUCAGAUACCACCCCAUUCAGAUACCCCAUUCCUACAUGUAGUCCAGUGGUUAUUUCAGCAGGGAAGCGAGUUUUAGACUUAAGUUCCACUGCCAAUUGAGAAACAGAAUUUUGCCACUUUCUAAAUAUAGGUCUCCAGAGUUUAUUUUGCUUCUCCAGAGCUGGGUAGGUCUGGCUUCCUGCUUAGAUACACAACAUCAGAGGACUCCCUCUUGCAAGUCCACACUUUUCCACGUCUCCUUUCCUUUCCCCUUGGACUCACAGAGCUCCUCUCAGAGCUGGGCUCUCUCACCACCUCCCAGGGCCUCCUCCCAGAUGAGGAAGUGCCCAGCCCAGACUAGCGCCCAAAAGGCUCCAGGGAACACUGAAGGAUUGUCCAGUCAGAGCCCCUUGGCCGCCUCACUGCCCAGGAGGAAGUGCUUAUUUUGAGUUGCUGGGCUGGCCAGACUGCGGCCCUCAGACUUUCCAUCCUACCCAGCACACUCCCAGCCAGUUCUGGCAGAGGAAGGUGCCAGGGCAGACUUCAAGGAGGCGGGUGCUCUUCAGCCAGAGCUUCCGGAGAGGCUGCCGGGAAGCAGGUGGAGUGAUCCAAGCCCCAAUCACACCUGCCUCAGGUCAGGGGGCUCCUGGGCCAGUUCCCUUCCCUUGUGGCACUACCUCAGCCUUCCUCUGCAUUCUAGGUGGAGGGGUCCAGUAGCUAGCUCUUCCACCAAGUCACUGUUGCUCAGUGCAUCGUGACCCAAGCCAGUUCUCCUUCUGGAGCACAGUACUAGACCUUGCAUUCCUCCAUCCAAGAAAUGUCCUCCUGGAGCCUUCCUCUGUGAUUUGAUGCCCCCUUGCUCUGACUGGACUCAUCGUACGUAGCCUUCUCGGCACUCUUGUGGUGGUGGGGAUUUUGCAGGUGCCACCCAGUGCCACUAAGAGAGGGGGCAGCCUCCCAUAGGAAGACUUGGGCUUAAGAGCCCACCUCGGCCCUCACCAGCUGUGUGUGCUUAUCAUACUCGGGCGAGAGAUUCUGAGAGACUGAACAAGAUAAUGGAUGCGUAAACUUCUGAAAACUGUAAGAGUGGUGUGGUCUUGGGCAGUGGUUCUCAAAGUGUGGUUCCCCUGGCCGGCAGAACGAACAUCAUCAGGAAAUUUGUUAGAAAUGCAAAUUAGCAGACUCACCUCAGGUCUGAAUGAGACACUCUGGAGGUGGGAACCAGGAGUCUGGUUUUAACAGCCUCCAUGUACGUGAAUCUGAUGCACUGGACUAGCGAACGGAAAACAGGCCCCGCCUUCUAGGGUGCACAGCUGGGGAGGGUAACCUAAAAUGCACAAUAGGUGCUGAAUGUAAUAUUCUGGAAGGUAGAGACCGUGUUCUACUAUGUGCAUCCCCACUGCCUGGUAUAGCACCUGCACAUAGUAGGUGUUCAAUUAAUAGCUCCUAUAUAGACUAGGUGUGUAAACACUGAAAGACAAAAGUAGCUCAGAAGUCUUACAAUGAAUGUAUGUUAUUUUUAUAAUUGAGGAAGCAGACAACCCCAUUUGAGGAAGAGAGAAAGAUAUGGGGUGACAGAAAAAAUAGUAGACAUGGGCCAUUCUUUUGGUGCUGCCCAGAAUGGCUACAGGGAGAGGAUCGGUGGGCACCUGCACCCAGAAAAGAAGCCUAUAUCUCCCACUGCAUCUCUAGGUCUCCCUUGAAUGGGCCAAGAUGUCACAGGUCGGCUGUGAUCAACAUCCACUGUUCAUCCUCUGACUAUUUGAGCACCUACUAUUUGCUAUCCUCGGGGCUAAGGAUAGGGAGGUGAGCAGGGCACACACAGACCCAUGCUCCCAAGCUGGCAGCCCAAGAAGAAGAAACACAGGAACUGCAAGAAGGUAGGACAGUAUUGUGACAGGGGACGUAUGGGGGCCAGGGGACAGAGGAUGGGGGGCAGUGGGCAGGGAAGGGCAUGCCAGAGUCAAUGGGUAGAGUGUCCCAGGCAGAGGUCACAGCCUAUAUGAAAAUCAGAGGCACAGAGGAACUAGAGCAGUCAGGAGGGGAGGGCACCUGUGAGGGGCCAUCAGCCACUGGUCCUGGUAUAAGAUAUGGUGUGAGGCAGUGGUGCAAGGCCCUGCCAUUCAGCAAACACUCUCUAGACGCUGGGGAGACCCCAGAACAGAGACAGAGCACAAAUAAGACCCUUGGCGGGCUUACAUCCCCGUGGCCAAGACAGAAAGAAACUACAAAGCCAAGAGCAGUGCUUCAGGGAGAGGGGUAAGCAGACACCAGGGAGGGAGUCCCUGACAAAGGAGGGUGUGGGGGGCCAAGGGAGGUGAAGGUGGUGUCGUGGCACGUAGGUAGGGUCGGGUACAUGCCAACUCACCCCCCACAUCACCCCACCAUGCAGGGCUCUGUAACUUCAAACAGAUGGUUCCAGAAUGCUGGUUUGCAGUCAAAGAAUGCAAAAAGUGCCAAACUUUCAGGGGAAAAAAGACAAAAAGACUACUAUGCUAUGCCACAGUAAUAAUAUACGUAUUAUACAUGCUAUGCUAUCUGUAUGCACCAUACAUCACUGUGAAUGCUAUACGUACCGCACUAUGCUCUACGUGACACGUAGUAUAGUACUGCGUGUAUAGCAUAGCGGAGCAUAGCAUAGCAUGUACGACACAGCAGAGUUUACUGCUAUGUAUGCAACCUACGGAUUACUCCAUACGUACUGUACUGUGCUAAACCACUGCCCCACCACACUCUGCGCACUGUACUGUACGUACUAUACUGUGGCACACCGCACCAUACAUACUACGCUAUGCUAUACACAAUAUGCUAUACUAUAGAGACGCCCGGGUGGCUCAGCAGUUGAGCGGCUGCCUUCGGCCCAGGGCGUGAUCCUGGAGUCCCGGGAUCGAGUCCCACGUCGGGCUUUCUGCAUGGAGCCUUCUUCUCCCUCUGCCUGUGUCUCUGCCUCUGUGUGUAUGCGUGUCUCUCAUGAAUAAAUAAAUAACAUCUUUAAAAAAUAUAUGCCAUACUAUAUACCACGCCAUUAUACCAUAAACAUAAUACUACGCUACGCUAAUGCUAUACUAUGCGAUACGUACACCAUACAUGCUGCUAACACGCUAC